CACUCUUGGGAUUGUAAAACUGGAGAUACAGAGCUUCGACUCUGCUGUGCACUCAGUCACAAUGGCGCCAGCAGAGACUCGCCCUUGUAAUCAAAAUAUUAUAUGUCCCGCCCACCCUAGCCCUAAACCAAUGGUAUCAUGACAAGCCCCGUAGUCAUGGCUAUGACUCAUACUUUAAAAAAACAAAAUUGCUGAUUGGACGGCAGAGAUAUGACGUGUUUUGUCAUCGUAACAAAAGUUAUGAAAUUACACCGAGUCAGCAGCUAAGAGUUAAUCUACCUGGUCUUGAAUCUCUCCUGUUUCUCCCCCUCCCUCUCUCUCUCUCUCUCAGAUGAGCACAGACUGUCACACGACUCCAUCGCUCCCGAUUCCAAGCUGAACUCGUUGUGACGCCCCCAACAGAGAAAGUGUCACCCGAGCAAGAACAGCACUCCGUGUCACCCCUCCUCUCAGACCUCACCCCUCACCCUCGUCACACCCCUCCUCUCACCCCUCGCCUCACCCCUCCUGUCACCCCUCGCCCUUCCUCUCACCCCUCGUCUCGCCCCUCCUCUCACACCUCCUCUCACGCCUCGCCUCACCCCGGGUCAGUGUGGCACAGCCUGUCUGCUCUUCUGAACAAACACUUCAGCCCUGCCGACGCAGUGAGAGUCUGGAGCAGCAACACAAGGAUUACGAGCGGAGGCUGUGCUUGUUGAGCCUGGAUGAUAUGGAGCGGCUGGCGACCCGCAUGCUUCACCCUGAGGCUGGGGAGUGCAUGGAGCUGUCCUUCCUGGACUGAGGAAUACUGCUGCUGCCCUCUCCACCUCUCCCCUCUCCACCCUCUUCUCCUCCCCCUCUCCCCUCUCUCUCCUCUCCUCUUUACUCUCUGCUCCCCCUCUCCUCUCCUUACUUUGUUUAAAAGAAUAGAAGCACACCCAGUGAGCAAGGCAUUGAGCAGCCCCACAUCCCGCUUCACAAUACCGCUAAAUAUUGACUGACUGUUCGCAUCGUGUGUGUUUGGUAAGACAACCCACAUUUUCUCCUUUCUGCUAUUUUAAAAGGAGCCCAGUUUGGUGCAGGAGGCUUGUGGGUAACAGAGUGUGUUUUUGCUGGGGACUGCAGCCCUUCCAUUACCAUUGCUCGUAGAGGGGAGAUUGUUUUACUUUCAAGCCUUUUUCUUUAAUAAAUCCGGACGUUUGGAAAUACA
Long non-coding RNA from Acipenser ruthenus (sterlet), 1189 nucleotides. RefSeq lists it as uncharacterized. The transcript is spliced from 2 exons. The record is from RefSeq and is a predicted model, not a curated record. Lineage: Eukaryota; Metazoa; Chordata; Actinopteri; Acipenseriformes; Acipenseridae.